Molecule: ribosomal RNA, 219 nt
Filed under: Campeiostachys nutans
Lineage: Eukaryota; Viridiplantae; Streptophyta; Magnoliopsida; Poales; Poaceae
Description: Elymus nutans partial small subunit ribosomal RNA
Rfam family: Eukaryotic small subunit ribosomal RNA (bases 95-219)
Source: RNAcentral
GACCUGGCCGGGCGGUCCGCCCUCUGGGUGAGCACUGUUCCGACGCCGGGCCUAUCCUUCUGGUGAGUCGGCAAGUCCUUUAUUGGGUGUGUCGGGGAACCAGGACCAUUACCUUGAAAAAAAUAGAGUGUUCAAAGCAGGCGUAUGCUCGAAUACACUAGCAUGGAAUAAUGAAAUAGGACGCGUGGUGCUAUUUUGUUGGUUUCUAGAACCGCCGUA